Molecule: ribosomal RNA, 763 nt
Filed under: uncultured bacterium
Lineage: Bacteria
Description: bacterial SSU rRNA
Rfam family: Bacterial small subunit ribosomal RNA
Source: RNAcentral
UUGAUUUCCUUCGGGACUGAUUAUUUUGUGACUGAGUGGCGGACGGGUGAGUAACGCGUGGGUAACCUGCCUUGUACAGGGGGAUAACAGUUGGAAACGGCUGCUAAUACCGCAUAAGCGCACAGCAUCGCAUGAUGCAGUGUGAAAAACUCCGGUGGUAUAAGAUGGACCCGCGUUGGAUUAGCUAGUUGGUGAGGUAACGGCCCACCAAGGCGACGAUCCAUAGCCGACCUGAGAGGGUGACCGGCCACAUUGGGACUGAGACACGGCCCAAACUCCUACGGGAGGCAGCAGUGGGGAAUAUUGCACAAUGGGCGAAAGCCUGAUGCAGCGACGCCGCGUGAGCGAAGAAGUAUUUCGGUAUGUAAAGCUCUAUCAGCAGGGAAGAUAAUGACGGUACCUGACUAAGAAGCACCGGCUAAAUACGUGCCAGCAGCCGCGGUAAUACGUAUGGUGCAAGCGUUAUCCGGAUUUACUGGGUGUAAAGGGAGCGCAGGCGGUGCGGCAAGUCUGAUGUGAAAGCCCGGGGCUCAACCCCGGUACUGCAUUGGAAACUGUCGUACUAGAGUGUCGGAGGGGUAAGCGGAAUUCCUAGUGUAGCGGUGAAAUGCGUAGAUAUUAGGAGGAACACCAGUGGCGAAGGCGGCUUACUGGACGAUAACUGACGCUGAGGCUCGAAAGCGUGGGGAGCAAACAGGAUUAGAUACCCUGGUAGUCCACGCCGUANACGAUGAAUACUAGGUGUUGGGAAGCAUUNCUUCUC